Long non-coding RNA from Eucalyptus grandis, 1310 nucleotides. RefSeq lists it as uncharacterized. The transcript is spliced from 3 exons. The record is from RefSeq and is a predicted model, not a curated record. Lineage: Eukaryota; Viridiplantae; Streptophyta; Magnoliopsida; Myrtales; Myrtaceae.
CAGAACAGAAAAGCAGAGCAUUAGCAGUAGCAAGAGAAGAAAAAACAGAGAGCUCGGAAGAACCAAGAAAGAAAAAGAGGAUUUCUUGCGUGCCUCUCCACGGGUUGGAUGAACUUCGUUUCGCGGCGCCCAGGUCACAGGCGGACUAGCAGUGACUGUUAAGCAGUUCAUCAUGUUCUGAGGUUGGCCUGCGCAGGAGCUUGGGAGGGAGGUUGAAUGAGUCUUUUCCAAAUGGUUAUGUUGCUCCACUUCAGAUGUCAGAGUCUUUAGUUUUGCAGAGUUGAAAGUUGCAACAAGAAGCUUCAGGUCUGAUACAAUUCUUGGCGAUGGUGGUUUUGGUAGUCUUGAAAGGCUGCUUUGAUGAGAAGGGAUCUUUCCAGAGCAAAAGAAUGACUCCAAUUGCCAUUAAAAAAAAAAAAAAAUUGAACCAAGGGAGCAUGCAAGGCUUCAGAGAGUGGAAGUUGGAGGUGAACUUCCUGGGCAGCUUAUCCAAAGGAUUGUCAGGCUAAUGGCAUGUUGUUUGGAGGAUGAACUACUACUUGUCCAUGACUUCUUGCCAGAGACUGCACUAAAGAACCAUCUCUUUCGAAGUAAGGUUCUUUACUGGGCGAUAUAUACAUGCUUGCUUUAAAUUUAUGAUAAAUAGGAUCUUUUCUUGGUUCAAUUAAAUAUACAAAUCAUGUGUCUUUCCUGCUGCAUGGGGCUUCGCCAUUAAACCAUUUCCAUGGGUCACAUUGCUUAGCUUAAAAUUGCAAUAGGAGUAGCCAAAGGCCUUGCGUUCUUGCACCAGUUAGCCAAAUAAUCUGCAGAGAUUUCAAGCACUCACGUAUUGCUGGACUUCGUAAGUUUCAUGUUCGUUACUUAGAUUAAAUGAAGCAAUACCACAUUGUUGUUACCUUUAAAAUUUGAUUCCAAAAUCUUGUCCUGUGCUGAAAUAAUUCAACUAUGUUUGCAACAUCCUGUUUUUUUGCAAUCUCCUCUUGCCAUACUGGAAGCAACAUUACAUGCGACGUCACAAGUUACUGGAGCUUAUGGCUAUGCGGCACCCAAGUAUAUAGCCACAGGUAAUAUGAUGGGCUUUCUGAAUUGCUUGGGGCGAUCAUAGUAGAGAACAUUGCACUUUGGACUUAGUUUGACCAUUCUUAAUGCCAUGUUUAGCAAAUUCAUGUUAGAGCACUGGCCAUCCAUGAACGAAGUCAUGGAAAUUGUGGGAAAAAUUAGUUACGCCUGAUAGAAAACAUUAUUUCCUAGACAAUUGAUCACAACUCGACCUUCUUUCUCGGACACAGUUAGUAAAUCUUUAUUCAUCA